CUGGGGAUCUGCCCGAUAGAGGGGGAUAACCACUGGAAACGGUGGCUAAUACCGCAUAACGUCUCACGACCAAAGAGGGGGACCUUCUGGCCUCUCACUAUCGGAUGAACCCCCAUGGGAUUAGCUAGUAGGCGGGGUAAUGGCCCACCUAUGCGACAAUCCCUAUCUGGUCUGAGAGGAUGACCACCCACACUGGAACUGAGACACGGUCCACACUCCUACGGGAGGCGGCAGUGGGGAAUAUUGCACAAUGGGCGCAAGCCUGAUGCACCCAUGCCCCGUGUAUGAAAAAAGCCUUCUGGUUGUAAAGUACUUUCUCCGGGGAGGAAAGCGAUGGGGUUAAUAACCCUGUCUAUUGACGUUACCCGCACAAAAAACACCGGCUAACUCCCUGCCACCACCCGCGGUAAUACAGAGGGUGCAAGCGUUAAUC
This 433-nucleotide ribosomal RNA is filed under the name Pantoea sp. F212. RNAcentral describes it as "bacterial SSU rRNA". It matches the Rfam family "Bacterial small subunit ribosomal RNA", at positions 115 to 546 of the family's 1533-position model. Lineage: Bacteria; Pseudomonadati; Pseudomonadota; Gammaproteobacteria; Enterobacterales; Erwiniaceae. The record is from RNAcentral.